Molecule: ribosomal RNA, 492 nt
Filed under: uncultured bacterium
Lineage: Bacteria
Description: partial 16S ribosomal RNA
Rfam family: Bacterial small subunit ribosomal RNA
Source: RNAcentral
GAUGAACGCUAGCUACAGGCUUAACACAUGCAAGUCGAGGGGCAGCGGUAUCGAAAGCUUGCUUUCGGUAGCCGGCGACCGGCGCACGGGUGAGUAACGCGUAUCGAACCUGCCUCAUACUCGGGAAUAGCCUUGCGCACGUAAGAUUAAUGCCUGGUGUUUUCAGAGUCCCUCAUGAGGCGUUGAACAAUGAUUUAUCGGUAUGAGAUGGCGCUGCGUCCCAUUAGCUUGUUGGCGGGGUAACGGCCCACCAAGGCAUCGAUGGGUAGGGGUUCUGAGAGGAAGGUCCACCACAUUGGAACUGAGACACGGUCCAAACUACUACGGGAGGCAGCAGUGAGGAAUAUUGGUCAAUGGGCGGAAGCCUGAACCAGCCAAGUAGCGUGCAGGAAGACGGCCCUCCGGGUUGUAAACUGCUUUUAGUUGGGAAGAAAACGGGGCUCGUGAGCCCCCUUGCAUGUACCAUCAGAAAAAGGACCGGCUAAGUCCGUG